UGAAGUUGUGGCUGGCGCCACUGUCAACGAGGACGGUCACCGUCCUCCCACGCAUGACCCCGCGCAACCUCAACGUGCCCGGGCUCGUAAUUCCCGCCAUCGAGUACAUGGGUAGUGCCCCCUCCAUCGUCUCCACUGCCUCUGCUCCCUCCAACUCCUCGUCGAGCCCUGCUGCAUCCACAAACUCGGCGUUCCGAAGCUCGAUAUCUUCUUCCGCUUCGGCCACCAUCACCCUAAGCUCCCUCAUUGGACAAACACGGAAGUGAUCUGGCGAAUACGGCUUCUUGCACUUGUAGCACAACCCUUUUGCGCGAAGAUCCGCCAAGUCGUUGUUGGUGCGUCGCGUGAAGCGGGUUCGAGCCGUCGACUGCUCUGAAUUUGCCGGUUGUGGAGUACUUCCCUUCGGCCCCGCUCGUGAAGUACUCCCAGCGCUACUGUUUACG
RNAcentral lists this long non-coding RNA (443 nucleotides) under Salvia miltiorrhiza (redroot sage). RNAcentral describes it as "long non-coding RNA (SMIL_LNC011920)". The record is from RNAcentral. Lineage: Eukaryota; Viridiplantae; Streptophyta; Magnoliopsida; Lamiales; Lamiaceae.